This 341-nucleotide unclassified non-coding RNA is filed under the name Hevea brasiliensis (rubber tree). Lineage: Eukaryota; Viridiplantae; Streptophyta; Magnoliopsida; Malpighiales; Euphorbiaceae. The record is from RNAcentral.
AAACAGAGGGAGACAUGGAGACUGCGAUUUGUGGGAGAAUAGCUCUCUCACCUAAUCAAGUCCUUAGCCCUAAAUCAGGAGACAAGCAUUCUCUUUCAAGAGGACCAUGGAUCAGCCGAGGGAUUCUCAUGGCUUUAUCAGCUACAGGAUCAGGUAAAGGAGGUGGGUUAUUGGAGAGGCCAAUCAUAGAGAAAACCACUCCUGGCCGUGAAUCGGAGUUUGAUUUAAGGAGAUCAAGGAAAACAGCUCCACCUUAUCGGGUGAUACUGCACAAUGACAACUACAAUAAAAGGGAAUAUGUUGUUCAAGUAUUGAUGAAGGUUAUCCCUGGAAUGACUCUU